RNAcentral lists this long non-coding RNA (1681 nucleotides) under Citrus sinensis (sweet orange). RNAcentral describes it as "long non-coding RNA (CSIN_LNC002671)". Lineage: Eukaryota; Viridiplantae; Streptophyta; Magnoliopsida; Sapindales; Rutaceae. The record is from RNAcentral.
UUACUGUAUAUUUUUUGAAUUUAACUUUUUGAAAUUUGAAAACCAUCGUAAGUUUUCGAUAGUUAUUCCCACAGGUCGCUUGACACGCAAGUGACGGUGACGGCGCGACGCCAAUAAUACACACGACGUAAGCGUGCGAGUCACACUAACACUUAGACGGUGCAGUGCGGUCCAUAUGGAGUAACACUAAUUGUUUAUGACUUUAUGCCGCUAACAUUAAUGCUAUAAAUAAAUGAUGUCUCCGCGCUUUCUCGGCGCUACUAAGAGCAUUUUCUCGCGCUCCAAAUACCUCCUCGUCGUAGCCGCACCCAUAACAAGACCACGAGUGCUCUCCACAUCUUCAGUUUCCUUCCCGCUUAAAACCGCUAAACCACCUGUCAUGUCAUACCGUCCUAAUUACCAAGGCGGACAGCGCCGCGGAGGCGGAGGCCCUUCCACAUCCGGUCGCGGUGGGCGACGUGGUGGACGCGGAGGCGGCGGAGGUCGCGGCGGUGGUGGAGGAGGUCGUGGCGAGCAGCGUUGGUGGGACCCCGUCUGGCGUGCCGAGCGCUUGAGGCAGCAAGCAGCUGAGGUAUUGCGAUACUGAAUCAUUCUCACGUGUUGUACGCAUUUAAGGGUACUAGCAGGUUCUGUUUGAAAGAGAUUGAGGAAAUAGUUUAAACUGAUAAGUUAGGGGUUAUUGAUUGUGUUGAAUGGCAAUUUUUUUAAUUAAUUGAAAAAUGAGUAACGGAUCUGUACAGUACGAUUGAAAGAGUGAAAACCAUAAAAUCAAUGCAAUAAAUGAGAAUAGAAAAUGUAUUCCUUAUUCUUUCAAUGAGAAUAGAAAGUUUGUGUUCAUUGUGUUUGUAUGUGUGGAAUUAUCUUAUAGAAAGUUUUAAGUCAUUUGAUUAUCUACCAUGUUUACACAUUUUUUUAUAUUGUCAUGUUAGCUCAGUAUUACCGAUAUUUGAUGAAAGCAAAUAAGAGUAACUGAUUUUUGUUUAUGAAGUUUGUUAUGAUUUUUUUUUUCUUUUUUCAAAGUAUAGGAUUGACUCAUUUUUAAGUUUUAGCUUGACAUUUUGCAUAUUUAAUAUUUUAUGAAUUAUAGGUUGGAAUAUAGUUUUCUAAAUGUUACUGUAUAUUUUUUGAAUUUAACUUUUUGAAAUUUGAAAACCAUCGUAAGUUUUCGAUAGUUAUUCCCACAGGUCGCUUGACACGCAAGUGACGGUGACGGCGCGACGCCAAUAAUACACACGACGUAAGCGUGCGAGUCACACUAACACUUAGACGGUGCAGUGCGGUCCAUAUGGAGUAACACUAAUUGUUUAUGACUUUAUGCCGCUAACAUUAAUGCUAUAAAUAAAUGAUGUCUCCGCGCUUUCUCGGCGCUACUAAGAGCAUUUUCUCGCGCUCCAAAUACCUCCUCGUCGUAGCCGCACCCAUAACAAGACCACGAGUGCUCUCCACAUCUUCAGUUUCCUUCCCGCUUAAAACCGCUAAACCACCUGUCAUGUCAUACCGUCCUAAUUACCAAGGCGGACAGCGCCGCGGAGGCGGAGGCCCUUCCACAUCCGGUCGCGGUGGGCGACGUGGUGGACGCGGAGGCGGCGGAGGUCGCGGCGGUGGUGGAGGAGGUCGUGGCGAGCAGCGUUGGUGGGACCCCGUCUGGCGUGCCGAGCGCUUGAGGCAGCAAGCAGCUGAG